UUAAAAAAGAUGAAACGCGUACACACACAAGCGCGCGCGCACGCAUAUACACACAGCUCGAGCCACCCACACCAAUACCACCUGUCAGUAGCUGGUCGGAGUAAUGUAGGCGGGAGCUGCGUCAAACCCUUCAAAUGCCAUAACACCGAGAGCUAAAACAGAGUGAGAGCCAGAGAGGAAGUUAGACUUUUUUCUUUUUUUCUUUUUUCUCACAACUCUGCCUCUGUCCGCGCUGAUCAGCCUGUCUGCGCAUCAGCGGAGCUCGCGCUGCCGCUGCGUCGCGCGCUAGAUCCACUCCGGCUCCCUCCUGCUCUCCUCCUGUAGCCGUAGUCCUGUUGCUCCUCGUCGCUGGCGCUCUCUGAAGACUUCUUUCACAAUUAUCAGCCGGAUUUUUACAGCAUUUACAGGCAAAAGGAGGAGGAGAAGGUGAGAGAGGGCGGAAAGCUCCGUCCACAGCCGCCUCAGGUGCUCUCAGCGGCGCUGCGGCGCGUUUGCUCUCAUCUUUAGGGCGAAAAUGAAGCUCCCCUCGUUUUCCUCUGCGCUGUAGAAACAAUGGGAAAGGGAAGCGCGUGAUCUGAAGUGUUCGCCAGGUUCUGGAUUGGUGAAUAAACCCAGUUAAACUGCUUGUUUACGUGUUUUGGUUUUGACCGGCAAAAAUAUUUUUUUCAACAGUGCGCGCGCGGCUGAACGAGGGCAAACCCCGAGCGAGGUCUAGAUCCCGCGCGCAGCAUCGCUGACUGCUCCCAACACCUCACACGCGCGCUGACGAGCCUGUGCUGGAUUUACACGCGUCUCUAAAGGGAUACGUCACAUCUGCCCUCGCAGACUUCGCAGACUUUUGUGGGGCUUCUGCUUUUGUCUUUUUUGUCCUGCUGCUCCGGCAUCCAUGGCCAGUCGCUCUAAUCUUUCUCACCAUGUGCUUUUUGGGAAUUAGCCGUGGAGAGAGGCGUCCCCUCUCAGGCGGAGAGGGCUGCUAAACCUCUCUUUCCUCUCCAGCCUCAGUAAAGUCUACUUCAUGGCUCCGGCGUCCAGACUGACCAGGCGGAAGGAUUCAGUGGCCUGGCCGAGGAUGUCCGCAACUUUCUGGGCUGUGCUUCUACUGAUCACUCUGCUGAUCGUCUACUGCGGUCAGUUGGCAGCAGGAACCUGUGAAAUCGUCACGUUGGACAGAGACAGCAGCCAGCCACGGAGGACCAUCGCCCGGCAGACUGCCCGCUGUGCCUGCAAGAAAGGCCAAAUUGCCGGCACGACAAGAGCCAGGCCGGCCUGCGUGGAUGCUCGUAUUGUGAGGACCAAGCAGUGGUGUGAUAUGGUACCAUGUCUGGAGGAUGAAGGCUGCGAUCUGUUGGUAAACCGGUCAGGCUGGACUUGUACACAGCCCGGGGGUCGGGUCAAAACCACCACGGCUCUAUGACGCGAACGGAAUCUCCCUGCUCAAAUCGCAUUCCCACCUAAAACAUGGCGGAGCACAUUGACGAACCAGACAGACAAAAAUCAGCCCCUGGUCCAGAGCAGAUACCAUCACAAACAACAACAACAAAUGCCAGCGGGCAUUAUCAACAAGGUCUCUUAACAGUGGCAGAGGUUCCAGAGGUGUGGAGAGCUCAAAGUGUGGACUCUAUGGAAGCCAGCCUGCAGCUCUCUUUGCUCCUGCCCACCUGCUGUAGAUAACUCGCUGUCUGUCAUCGGCUCGACAUCUGCCUCCGACUGCCUGUCUGUAUCUCUGCUUUGUAAAUGAGCGGUGCCCCCUAGUGCCACGGAGGACUUACGUCCACACAGCGCCUCACACAGCACUGGAGAGCCUUCUAGACUGUGGAGUGUGAUGGGUGCUACCUUGUCAGGACUAAAAGGAUGUCCACCACACCCAUUUUUUUGAGGACUCUAGUGCUUUAAGAACUAAACCAUGAUGUUCUGCAACAUCCUGAGACUGUGAUGACCCUUCCCUCCACCCAGUGGAACUGCCCGCUCUGUGAAUAGGCCUUCUUCUGGAGUACAACUUUGGCACUCUGAACGAUUUUUACAGACCAAAGAGGAAGAAUAUCAUACAAACACAUUAACAAAAGGAAUUCAGAGGAUGUACCGAGCGAGGAAAUGAAAUGAAAAUAUACAGAAAGUCACAUAACUGAACACCAAUGUCCACGUAUGUAAAAGCACUGACUUUGAAGAAUCGAUCUGUGCAAAUGAACUGACCAACCAGGUCAGACAUGAACAAAAAUCUGAGGAGUACCUUUAAUACUUUGCAGACGUUUUUUCUCAGACUGUACCCUCCACUGUAUUUUGAAACUGGAAAUAUAGGUACUGUAUACAUAUGUAUGUGUAUAAAGAAAAUCAGAUUUGCAUUUUUCAGUAGCAACAUUUCGGACAAUUUGCAAUAAGCAUGGUUGGUUACAGUUAAAGAGUACAGCGCUGAUCAUCAUCAGACACAAAGCGAAUACAGAAAAAAAAUUCCUGUCAUUUCUGAUUGCCAGAAGAGGAAAAAAAGAAGUCAUUAAAUGUAUUUUGAAAGGCCUACAGUUAUAUAUUUAACAGUUUUAUAUGUUGUAUCUUUGUAGAGAACCUUAUUUAACAUGAAUAAUGUGGUGGAAAUGGCAGUGAUAGAAUGUGGAUAAUAAGCUCUGUUUCAUGCUGGUCUGUCCUGCUCUUCUCCUCCACCAGUAGCACCUCUCCUUUUAGACCCAUUUAAAGGAAAAAAAAAAAAAAAAAACAUGACCGCCACUUCUUCUAUACUAAACAGACGAGUGAAAAAAAAAGAAAAGGACAGAACAUGGAAGGAAAAAAAAAAGAAACGAUCGAUCACUGAGAACUGAACUUUAUAUCCCA
RNA transcript from Pygocentrus nattereri (red-bellied piranha), 2820 nucleotides. It is a transcript of the gene named TAFA chemokine like family member 5a, with no coding region annotated. Lineage: Eukaryota; Metazoa; Chordata; Actinopteri; Characiformes; Serrasalmidae. The transcript is spliced from 5 exons. The record is from RefSeq and is a predicted model, not a curated record.